Molecule: ribosomal RNA, 440 nt
Filed under: uncultured bacterium
Lineage: Bacteria
Description: partial 16S ribosomal RNA
Rfam family: Bacterial small subunit ribosomal RNA
Source: RNAcentral
CCUACGGGGGGCAGCAGUGGGGGAUAUUGCACAAUGGGGGGAACCCUGAUGCAGCGACGCCGCGUGGGUGAAGAAGCGCCUCGGCGCGUAAAGCCCUGUCAGCAGGGAAGAAAAUGACGGUACCUGAAGAAGAAGCACCGGCUAACUACGUGCCAGCAGCCGCGGUAAUACGUAGGGGGCAAGCGUUAUCCGGAUUUACUGGGUGUAAAGGGGGCGCAGACGGCGAUGCAAGCCAGGAGUGAAAGCCCGGGGCUCAACCCCGGGACUGCUCUUGGAACUGCGUGGCUGGAGUGCAGGAGGGGCAGGCGGAAUUGCUGGUGUAGCGGUGAAAUGCGUAGAUAUCAGGAGGAACACCGGUGGCGAAGGCGGCCUGCUGGACUGCAACUGACGUUGAGGCCCGAAAGCGUGGGGAGCAAACAGGAUUAGAUACCCCAGUAGUC